UAAAACCCAAAACUUCAAAUCUUCAUAGCUCCCUCAUAUUUGGUCCGAUUUUAGUGAUUCUUGAGUCCAUCUUGGGUGAAAUUUCACAAGGAAUCCAGAUUUACAUUUGUAUUUCAAAGAUUCCAUCAUUUUUGGGUCGGAUUUAAGCAUAGGGGUGCCGAAAAUUUGGGGGGUUUUUGUGGGUUUUUGUGUGAACUUGAAGAGCUUGUUAUUCUCAUCUUCAACAACACUAAGGUAUGCAAUUUCAAUUCACUUUUUAUGUACAUUGAGGUUUGUAAGUUUUCAUUAUGUUUUUGCUUGCACACUUGCUUGUAUGUGAUAGAUGAUAGGAAAUUGUUGAACCAUUGAAUGUAUGGGUAUAAAUGUGUUUGAUGUCUAGUAAAAAAAAUUUUUGGAGACCUUGAGCUUGAAGAACACUUUCUUAAUCAUUAGUUUAUUGUCUUUGAUAUUGAUGAACGAUAAUACUUUUGUUAUGAUGUUGAUGCGAGCCAUGAGUGGCUAAACACUUUGUGAUCUUCCUGGAUUGAAGGUUUGUUUGAGACAUUUCAUGUUUGUUUUCCUAAUUUCUAUAAUAACAAUCUUCAUCUUAAUGGUUUGUUUGUUAUGAAACCAUACGUUCUUGGUGCCGUUGGCAAUCGAGAUAUCAUGGGUAUAGUUAGGCUUGGGUAAGGGUUGAUUGAUCAUCGGGUAACAACCUCACGUUCUAGGAAUCUGAGUACUUAGUUCCCUUUCAUCACUGCAAGUAGUCGCACAUGAGCUAUGUCUAUGUAGUUCUUUCUAGUGGAAUGAUAACAUGAAUGUCAAUUGAAACCGGAAAUCUAGGACGGUCAUUUGUCUCUAAUUUGUUUACAUCCAAAACUUUUCUCUUGCAAAUUAAUUAGUUAAUUUAGUUUUAAAACCAAUCCAAUCAAAUCAACUCUUGAAUUUUACUUUAUUUGCAAUUAGAUUAAUUUUAGUCAAGUUAGAUAAUCUUUUAAAUAACACAUUGAUGUGUGUAAAAUGCAACAUAUAAAUUACAUCAAAUGAGGCAUAAAACUAACCCUUUUUUAGUACUAAUGUUGGAAAAAGAGUGUUUUUGUCUUCCUUUUGUAUUUUCAGGAUUAAAUGAGCUCAAAUUCACAAAAGAAGCAAAAAGACAGCUAAAUCUAACAUAAAUACAAGAAAAGGAACAUAAGUGGAUUGCACGACCCCUUAACAGCAUCCUCCCAAGCAAAAUCGAGAAGGCAGAAGACUGAACACGCCCCGUGCUCAGCCAGCACGGGGCCGUGCCCAAGAAGCAACAGAAAAGACAAACCUACAGAAGCUUCUAUUGCCCACCACGGGGCCGUGUCCAGUGAACACGGGGGCAUGGCGAAAGUACAGCAGGCGCAUUAAUUGUAAUUGCAAAUUUCAAUUAAUGAAGAGAGAGAGUGUCAGACAGGCACGGGGCCGUGCCCAGCGGACAUGGGGCCGUGCCCAGCCUUCUGUUCAGCCUAUAAAUAGGAGUGCUUGGUUUCAUUGCAACUGAUCCCUUGGCACACCACCUCUCUCACACUUCAUCCACCACCCACCACCACCAUAACACCAUCAUCCACCACCAUCAUCCAUCGUCCAUCAUAGAGUGUGUGAGUCGUCUCGGGAUCCAAGAUUGAUCGUAAGAGUUCUUGACAAUCAAGGCCAUGUUUGCCUAAGUCUCUUACAUCACUUGGUGAAGACAAGUGUUUAGUUUAAUACUUUUUAUUUUCAAUCUUUUGCACUUUUUAUUUGGUUUUGUAUUAAUGACUUUAAUAACUAGUUGCUUAUGUUGAAGGUGAUUUU
RNAcentral lists this long non-coding RNA (1797 nucleotides) under Helianthus annuus (common sunflower). RNAcentral's name for it is "hypothetical non coding rna". Lineage: Eukaryota; Viridiplantae; Streptophyta; Magnoliopsida; Asterales; Asteraceae. The record is from RNAcentral.